Molecule: ribosomal RNA, 536 nt
Filed under: Staphylococcus aureus
Lineage: Bacteria; Bacillati; Bacillota; Bacilli; Caryophanales; Staphylococcaceae
Description: partial 23S ribosomal RNA
Rfam family: Bacterial large subunit ribosomal RNA
Source: RNAcentral
ACGGGAAGAGCCCAAACCAACAAGCUUGCUUGUUGGGGUUGUAGGACACUCUAUACGGAGUUACAAAGGACGACAUUAGACGAAUCAUCUGGAAAGAUGAAUCAAAGAAGGUAAUAAUCCUGUAGUCGAAAAUGUUGUCUCUCUUGAGUGGAUCCUGAGUACGACGGAGCACGUGAAAUUCCGUCGGAAUCUGGGAGGACCAUCUCCUAAGGCUAAAUACUCUCUAGUGACCGAUAGUGAACCAGUACCGUGAGGGAAAGGUGAAAAGCACCCCGGAAGGGGAGUGAAAUAGAACCUGAAACCGUGUGCUUACAAGUAGUCAGAGCCCGUUAAUGGGUGAUGGCGUGCCUUUUGUAGAAUGAACCGGCGAGUUACGAUUUGAUGCAAGGUUAAGCAGUAAAUGUGGAGCCGUAGCGAAAGCGAGUCUGAAUAGGGCGUUUAGUAUUUGGUCGUAGACCCGAAACCAGGUGAUCUACCCUUGGUCAGGUUGAAGUUCAGGUAACACUGAAUGGAGGACCGAACCGACUUACGUUGAA